UUAAUAAUAGAGAUGCCAUCAUUCAAUCAGUCACCAAACAGAAAAGAUUAGCUGGUCCCUGCGAAAAGAUGACACUCGCAAAUCGAGAAAUGGUCCAAAUAAUU
Solanum dulcamara is the source of this 104-nucleotide small nuclear RNA. The record is from RefSeq and is a predicted model, not a curated record. Lineage: Eukaryota; Viridiplantae; Streptophyta; Magnoliopsida; Solanales; Solanaceae.